Molecule: non-coding RNA, 360 nt
Filed under: Staphylococcus auricularis
Lineage: Bacteria; Bacillati; Bacillota; Bacilli; Caryophanales; Staphylococcaceae
Description: RNAIII
Rfam family: RNAIII
About the family: This family represents RNAIII which is known to regulate the expression of many Staphylococcus aureus genes encoding exoproteins and cell wall associated proteins.
Source: RNAcentral
UUACCCUUUGAUUAUAAACAAAGGAGGUCUAUCACAUGACUAAAGAUAUCGUUGAAACAGUCGGUGGUCUUGUUAAAUGGAUUCUCGAUACUGUGAAAAAAUUUGCUUAAUUUUUAUGUCCCAAUAAGUUGAAGCAUUUAUUGUAACUCAGCAAAAACCAAGUGUCAUUGUAUAAAGCCUAAAACAGAGGCGGAGUAUUAUUUUGUAAGCUAUCGUAAACAUCAUUCAAUUGAUUAAUAAUCGGUAAAUUCACUAAAUAUUUUUCAUAAUUAAAAACAUCCCCAAAAAAUAGAAAAAAUAACUGUAAAAACAUUCCCUUAAUAAAUAAAAAGCCGUGAGUCCCUCCCAAGCUCACGGCUU